GACGAACGCUGGCGGCGUGCUUAACACAUGCAAGUCGAACGGCAAGGCCCUGCUUUUUUGGUCUUCUCGGUUGGCGAACGCGUGCGUAACACGUAUGUAACCUGCCCUUCACUUUCGUAUAACUUCACGAAACUGGGGCUACUCUCGUAUAGCAUCUCCUGCUGCAUUGUGGGGGUUGGAACUUUUCGGCUGUCGGGGAUGGACUGGCGGGUUAUCAGCUUGUUUGUGGGGUAGUUGCUUUCCAAGGCUUUGACUGGUAGCCGGCCUGAGAGGGUGACCGGCCACAUUGGGACUGAGAGACGGCCCAGACUGCUACGGGAGGCAGCAGUGGGGAAUAUUGCACAAUGGGCGGAAGGCUGAUGCAGCAACGCCGCGUGCGGGAUGACGGCCUUCGGGUUGUAAACCGCUUUCGCCUGUGACGAAGCGUGAGUGACGGUAAUGGAUAAAGAAGCACCGGCUAACUACGUG
RNAcentral lists this ribosomal RNA (468 nucleotides) under uncultured bacterium. RNAcentral describes it as "partial 16S ribosomal RNA". It matches the Rfam family "Bacterial small subunit ribosomal RNA", at positions 28 to 507 of the family's 1533-position model. The record is from RNAcentral.